This 2726-nucleotide long non-coding RNA is filed under the name Homo sapiens (human). RNAcentral describes it as "HSALNT0024445". The record is from RNAcentral. Lineage: Eukaryota; Metazoa; Chordata; Mammalia; Primates; Hominidae.
UACAAAUUCAUUCCUCCAAUAGGUUGUACAUGAGUAAAAAGCAUGAAGUAGUUCAAGAAUGGUUGAGUAAAAGAAUGGAUAAUGAUUCCUCAAAGUAUUCUGGAUUCCAUGAGAAACAGCUAUAGAACUAAUAUCACCGUUCUCAUUAGAAACUACAGCUAUAGGUUUAGAGAGAUUUCUGCAAGAAAAGGACAAUUUUAAAAAUUAAAUAUUUUGAUACUGUCAAGAUUAAGCUCCCUAGAUGUCUGCAUCUUGUAAGUAGGAAUGAAUCCUCACUUUUACAAGCUACAGAAUCAUGUGGUGUCCCUGUGUGGCACUUGAAGGAGCAAAAGAAAAAGCUCUGAUGAAGAAGGGCAGGCUCUUUUGGCUGAGGAACCAUCUGGUCUGGCACAGGCAUGGGACCACCUGGAUUUCAACCUGCAGCACCAUAACUAGACCAACAGCAAGAUUUGCCUACAUUUCAGUGAGUCAAACCAGACAGUUUCACUCUGUCACCCAAACAUGAUCUCAGCUCACUGCAACCUCCGCCUCCCAAGUUCAAGUGAUUUUCAUGCCUCAGCUUCCUGAGUAGUUGGUCUCGAACUCCUGACGUCAGGUGAUCUGCCUGCCUUGGCCUCCCAAAGUGCUGGGAUUACAGACUUGAGCCACUGCGCCCAGCUUAAAUCUGAUUUCUUGAGAACUGUCUGAAUUAGGCCCACUCUUUGGCACUUACAGCUGAAAUACUCUAGUAUACUAAGUGAAAUAUUUGGAGUCCAUUUUUCUUUAAACUAAACAUCAGAAUAUUUUUUCAUAUUAAACGAACAAAAUAUUCCCUCAUCAACUAGGACUAUUUGGUUACUCUAAAAUACAGUUCAUUCAGGAAAGGCAGAAUAAAUGCUGAAUUCUGUUCCUUUAAUUGCCAAAUUUCAAAGUAAGGAAUUGGUGCCCUAUUACCUCUAAUGGGACCAAUGAAUUUUGUUUCACUGUGUUUCCUUGGCCUUUUAAAAAGUAUCACUAUGACCUUACGUUUCUUUUUAUUUCCAUGUGUUUCAACUAAUUGCAGUCAUUAUUCUUUUUAUUCUCAGACUAUCCUAUCUUUGGCAGCGAGAGGCACUUCAAGUUGGCUUCUGAGUCCUUUUCUAUUUUUAUUUUUUGAGACGGAGUUUCACUCUUGUUAUCCAGGCUGGGGUGCAGUGGUGCAAUCUCGGCUCAUCGCAACCUCCCCAUCCCAGGUUCAAGCAAUUCUCCUGCCUCAGCCUCCCAAGUAGCUGGAAUUACAGGCAUGUGCCACCACGGCCGGCAAAUUUUGUAUUUUUAAUAGAGUUAGGGUUUCACCAUGUUGGCCAGGCUGCUCUUGAACUUCAGGCCUCAAGCCAUCAGCCCACCUUGGCCUCCCAAAGUGCUGAGAUUACAGGAGUGAGCCACCACGCCUGGCCAACUUCUGAGUCCUUUUGACAAGACCAUAUUAGUUUCCUCGCUUUCUGACACAACAAAACAUCCUAGGCUCACCUUGUCUAUUUUCUUCUAAUAAAUUUAGAAGAAAUGAGAGAAUGGGAAAUCAACAUUUUGCAACCUCUAGUGAAAUAAUUGAUUCAAGCAAUAAUCAUCAAUGGAUGAAACCAUUAGGUACAAAUUCAAUGGGAGCCUGAGCCCACAGAUCAAACUGAGCACCAUUACAGUGGAAUAUCAUAGGCUUCCUGAUAUGAUACAAUAUAAAGCUCACUCCUCUCAACCAUGCAGAAUGAUAAAAAAAAAAAAAAGGAAAAUAUAUAUAAAGCUCACAUCACCACCUAUAAAGGAUUCUUGCCAAAAAAAGAGUUGAACCUGAAACUAAGCAAGACUUUUCCAGUCUCUAGGAAAUACAGGGGUUAUGGGAACAAACCAAACGACGUCAUGGGAAGCAAUCAGAAAAUACAGAAUGUGAAGCCUCCAAAAGAAUAAGUGACCUGGUUUUUCCAACAAGUCAAUGUCAGGAGAAAAUAAAGAGAAAAAAUACACAUAAAAAAUAAUGGCUGGCUGGGUGUAGUGGCUCAUGCCUGUCAUCUCAGCACUUUGGGAGGCCAAGGUGGGUGGAUCACAAGGUCAAGAGAUAGAGACCAUCCUGGCCAACAUGGUGAAACCCUGUCUCUACUAAAAAUACAAAAAUUAGUUGGGCAUGGUGGCAGGUGCCGGCAGUCCCAGCUACUCAGAGGCUGAGGCAGGAGAAUCGCUUGAACCCGGGAGGCAGAGGUUGCAGUGAGCCGAGAUUGCGCCACUGCACUCCAGCCUGGUGACAGAGUGAGACUCUGUCUCAAAAAAAAAAAAAAAAAAAAAAAAAAAAAGGCUAUUCUAGGUAUAUGUUCAGAGAUAUAGCAACCAAACAUGACAAUGGACCUGAUUCAAGACAACCAACUAUAAAAAGCUAUCUUUGAGAGAAGCAGGGGACAUUUGGAAAUGGACUAGAUAUUAGAUGAUAUCAUGGAAUUAUUGUCAAUUUUCUUACAUGUGAUAAUAGCACUGUGGUUGAGAUGUUCUAUUUUUUAAAGAGAUGCAUACUGUAGAACAAAGAAGUGACAUAACAAGAUGUCUGCAAUUUGCCUUAAAUAAGAAAAAAAAGUUAAUGUAAGUUUGGCAAAAAUCUUCAUAAUUCACAAUUGUUGAACCAGGGUGAUAGGUAUGUGGGGUCUUAUAUAAUUCUUCUAUUUUGUGCAUGUUUGAAAUUUUUCAUAAUGAAAACUUUAAUAAAGAAAUACAACAUAUGGAUGGAU